Molecule: ribosomal RNA, 411 nt
Filed under: Campylobacter coli
Lineage: Bacteria; Pseudomonadati; Campylobacterota; Epsilonproteobacteria; Campylobacterales; Campylobacteraceae
Description: bacterial LSU rRNA
Rfam family: Bacterial large subunit ribosomal RNA
Source: RNAcentral
UACUUAAACAACCAGGAGGUUGGCUUAGAAGCAGCCAUCCUUUAAAGAAAGCGUAAUAGCUCACUGGUCUAGUGAUUUUGCGCGGAAAAUAUAACGGGGCUAAAGUAAGUACCGAAGCUGUAGACUUGCGCACAACUUAGAUUAUUUAAGUUUAGAAUAUGAGAAACUAAGUUAUAUGUUUAGUUAUAUUUUUACUGAUUUUUAUAGAGUAAAGAUAGAAAUAAAACUUAGUAAAAUCAGUAAAAAUAUUCUUAGACUAAAGUUAAGUAGUUUAAGUUGUGUGCAAGUGGUAGGAGAGCGUUCUAUUUGCGUCGAAGGUAUACCGGUAAGGAGUGCUGGAGCGAAUAGAAGUGAGCAUGCAGGCAUGAGUAGCGAUAAUUAAUGUGAGAAUCAUUAACGCCGUAAACCCAA